Molecule: ribosomal RNA, 253 nt
Filed under: uncultured prokaryote
Description: partial 16S ribosomal RNA
Rfam family: Bacterial small subunit ribosomal RNA
Source: RNAcentral
UACGUAGGUGGCGAACGUUAUCCGGAGUUACUGGGCGUAAAGGGUCCGCAGGCGGGCCGUUAAGUCUGGCGUGAAAUCUUCCGGCUCAACUGGAAGAGGUCGUUGGAAACUGACGGUCUAGCAUCCCGCAGAGGUCGGCGGAAUUCCCGGUGUAGUGGUGGAAUGCGUAGAGAUCGGGAGGAACCUCGAAAGCGAAGGCAGCCGGCUAGGCGCGGAUGGACGCUGAGGGACGAAAGCGUGGGGAGCGAACAGG